Molecule: ribosomal RNA, 253 nt
Filed under: uncultured bacterium
Lineage: Bacteria
Description: partial 16S ribosomal RNA
Rfam family: Bacterial small subunit ribosomal RNA
Source: RNAcentral
UACAGAGGGUGCGAGCGUUAAUCGGAAUUACUGGGCGUAAAGCGUGCGUAGACGGCUAUCUAAGUCGGGCGUGAAAGCCCCGGGCUCAACCUGGGAAUUGCAUUCGAGACUGAAUAGCUAGGGUGCGGUAGAGGGAAGCGGAAUUUCCGGUGUAGCGGUGAAAUGCGUAGAUAUCGGGAGGAACACCUGCGGCGAAGGCGGCUUCCUGGACCAUAACUGACGCUGAGGCGCGAAAGCUAGGGGAGCAAACAGG